Molecule: ribosomal RNA, 851 nt
Filed under: Ramularia coleosporii
Lineage: Eukaryota; Fungi; Ascomycota; Dothideomycetes; Mycosphaerellales; Mycosphaerellaceae
Description: eukaryotic LSU rRNA
Rfam family: Eukaryotic large subunit ribosomal RNA
Source: RNAcentral
CAAUAAGCGGAGGAAAAGAAACCAACAGGGAUUGCCCUAGUAACGGCGAGUGAAGCGGCAACAGCUCAAAUUUGAAAUCUGGCGCAAGCCCGAGUUGUAAUUUGUAGAGGAUGCUUCUAGGUAGCGACCGGUCUAAGUUCCUUGGAACAGGACGUCAUAGAGGGUGAGAAUCCCGUAUGUGACCGGCCCGCACCUUCUACGUAGCUCCUUCGACGAGUCGAGUUGUUUGGGAAUGCAGCUCUAAAUGGGAGGUAAAUUUCUUCUAAAGCUAAAUACCGGCCAGAGACCGAUAGCGCACAAGUAGAGUGAUCGAAAGAUGAAAAGCACUUUGGAAAGAGAGUUAAAAAGCACGUGAAAUUGUUGAAAGGGAAGCGCUUACAACCAGACUUCUGGGCGGUGUUCCGCCGGUCUUUUGACCGGUCUACUCGCCGUCCCGAGGCCAACAUCAUCUGGGACCGCUGGAUAAGACCUCAGGAAUGUAGCUCCCCUCGGGGAGUGUUAUAGCCUGUGGUGAUGCAGCGCGUCUCGGGUGAGGUCCGCGCUUCGGCAAGGAUGUUGGCGUAAUGGUUGUCAGCGGCCCGUCUUGAAACACGGACCAAGGAGUCUAACAUCUAUGCGAGUGUUCGGGUGUCAAACCCCUACGCGUAAUGAAAGUGAACGGAGGUGGGAAGGGCAACCUGCACCAUCGACCGAUCCUGAUGUCCUCGGAUGGAUUUGAGUAAGAGCAUAGCUGUUGGGACCCGAAAGAUGGUGAACUAUGCCUGAAUAGGGUGAAGCCAGAGGAAACUCUGGUGGAGGCUCGCAGCGGUUCUGACGUGCAAAUCGAUCGUCAAAUUUGGGUAUAGGGGCGA